GAUGAACGCUGGCGGCGUGCUUAACACAUGCAAGUCGAACGAGAAUCAGUGGAACAAGGAUUUAUCUGAGGGAAGCUGAGGAAAGUGGCGGACGGGUGAGUAACGCGUGAGCAAUCUGCCUUGGAGUGGGGAAUAACGGCUGGAAACAGCCGCUAAUACCGCAUGAUACAGUUGGGUCGCAUGGCUCUGACUGUCAAAGAUUUAUCGCUCUGAGAUGAGCUCGCGUCUGAUUAGCUUGUUGGCGGGGUAACGGCCCACCAAGGCGACGAUCAGUAGCCGGACUGAGAGGUUGGCCGGCCACAUUGGGACUGAGACACGGCCCAG
This 324-nucleotide ribosomal RNA is filed under the name uncultured bacterium. Its description in RNAcentral is "bacterial SSU rRNA". It matches the Rfam family "Bacterial small subunit ribosomal RNA", at positions 28 to 334 of the family's 1533-position model. The record is from RNAcentral.